Molecule: long non-coding RNA, 9942 nt
Organism: Zonotrichia albicollis (white-throated sparrow)
Lineage: Eukaryota; Metazoa; Chordata; Aves; Passeriformes; Passerellidae
Source: RefSeq, a predicted model, not a curated record
CCUCGAGGAAAAAAAUCCAAUGUUCCUGAACUGGCAGGUCAUCAACUUCUGUUUGAAGGAGUACUCAGUGGAAUGGUUUUUUGAUCCCUGGAAGAUGCCUCCGCUACCAUGAAAACCACCUGCCAUUCUCCUUCUGACAGGAUCUUGGACAAAAAUGCAUACAAGGCCAGUGUAAAAACUCCUAAUUAGUGUAUCAUUAUAUCCAAAUUCAAUAGGAGCAAUCUACAUGUGACAAACAGUCAAUUGAUGCUGAGUUUAUUAACAGAGAUGCAGAACCUAGGUUGAGUUGUCUGUAGGAAAGGUGUCAGACAAGUAGUGCUGCAAAUAGUGAGGUAAAUCAGAAGAAAUGCACUCUUGCUGCAGAGAAGGAAAAGACCAUCCUGGGCUGCUUUAGGCAAAGUAUUGCCAGCAGCUGGAGGGAGGUGAUUCUUCUUUUUUUAGCACUGGCCAGUCCACACCUGGAGCACUGUUGCCAGUUCUGAGCUUCUCAGUUCAAGAGAGGCAUGGACAUGCUGGAUGAAGUCCAGAGAAAGGCCGCAAGGAUGAUUAAGGGACUGGAGCUUCAUGAGGAAAGGCUCCAUGAGCUGAGACUGUGCAGCCUGGAGAGAAGGCUCAGAGAUACCUUGUUAACGUGCAUAAAUACCUGGUGGGAGGGAAUGAAGAAGAAAGAGCCAGGCUCUUUUCAGUGAUCCCCAGGGAAAAGGCCAGAGAUUAUGGGUUUAAAAUGAAACACAGAAGGGCUCUUUCUGAACUAGAAAACGUUAUUACAUUUUUUUUGCCAUGAAGAAACAUUUUUUUAUGCUGUCAGGGACCAAGAUCUGACACAGGUUGCCCAGAGAGAUUGUAGAGCCUCCAUCAUUAAAGACAGUAAAAAUGCACCUGGACAUGGUCCCAGGCAAAUAGCUGGACUUAAGCAGGGGUCCUGCUGCAGUAGGGAGGUUUAGCAGGUGACCUCAGAGGUUGCUUCCAACCUCAAUCUUCCUGUAAUUCUAUGAUUCAGUGAAAGAUUUGGCAAACUGUGUGGAAACCUUUAGCUAAGUAGGCAUCCCAGUAAUGAAGUAGGACUCUAUUAUGCAAAACUGAAUUGUUCUGUCUAUGCUCUCUAAUCUCAUUUAUGAGAUGGAAUAGUUUUCUUUUUCCUCCUAGUCUACAACUUAAUAUCUUCAGUAACUCCAGAAAUACUUGCAUCAUAGGAAUAAAUGAAUGACUUGAAUAAAUAGGCCACACUGACCAAAUCUCCUUUAUGAACAUUUAUCCAGGCAACUGCUAUCUCCACAGAUUAUCAUAGUUUACCACAAAGUCAUUCUGGCAUAACACUGCAAGAACAUUUCAUCAGUGUGGGAUGUAAAAUGUUAUAGCUCACUCACUCAACCAUACUUUAUUGCAUCUCCACUCUGUGGUUUGCAGUAGUUUCAAUUUGUUUGAAUGGCCAAUUGAAAACUUUGGCUUCAUCUCCUAGGACAAUUUACAUUCAUUUCAAAUAGGAUAUUCUCUCCCAAAAUACAGUUAGAUUUUUUAAAACUUAUAUUUCUGUGGUAGCCUUGCCCAUUUUGAUAAAACAUGCUGGAGACAGUAAACAAAGGCUUUCUCAUCUUUUCAUCUUCCUCUUGCAUGUCAUUACCUGGUUAGGCAAUGUCCUUGCUGGGUUGAAAUAAAUAUAUGUCCAAUGUAUUUUAUUUGGGUUAUUAAAUCGGUUAGGGAGUGUGUCUUUUUUUCCGUUUACAUUUUUCUUUUGUUUGUUUGUUUGGCUGUGGUUUGUUUCUGUUUUUUUAACUCUGAGGAAGUAGGAGGAGGCACAGGAAAUUCCUACUGGAAAGCUGAAUAGGGGAGAUACUCCAAGGUAUUAAUCAAUGCAUCCCAUGUACUUCUGCAUAAAUUGUUUGUUGAUGUACCAAGAAUACCAUAUAGGCAUAUCUGAAAAAAAUGAAAUAAAUAUAACAGUGGGGAUGCAAAAAAUACAGGAAAAAUCUAAACAGGAUUUGAUUAAAAUUAAAAUUAUUCAAUCCAUAAUCAUCCAUCUUGUGAAGUUCUCCAAUUGUUUUACACACUAAAUAUAGCAUUUAGUGUGUGUAAUGGUAAUUUUUAUCUCAGCAUUGCAUUAAAGUGCUGUAUCUCCUCCAUCACUGCCUCCUUAUGCCAGUAAAUUAAGUUAUUCACAUAGUCAUGUGCCUUCUCUGAAAGACUAAGAACAUCCUUCAACUUGACUACAUAAUAUUAAUUAUAGUUAAGAUUUAUUCAUUGUGUUUUGUGUUGCCUUGUCCUUUUUUUUUAAUUUCUAAAAUACUUUAUCAAUAUCAAGCAUUAAUUCAGAGCACAAUAGAGAUAACAGAGGCUGAAGACUGACUAUUCAUAAUAGUGUCUGGGGACUGCAACGUCUACUGAGUAAAGAUUAUGCACUUAAAGACAUUGUUUUUUAUUUUAACCACUGGCAUUUCAUUUCAAGCCAUAAAAAUAAAAAAUCACUAUUAAUAUAGAUGCUAAAAUAUUUAUUCAUGCCUUCCGUAGUAUCUGGGAUCUAAAUAUGUAAACAUUUACAGCACUAUUUUUUUGAGUGAAUAUAAAUACAUGAGGUGCUUUUUAGCAGUAAAUUGUCACAUUAAUUUGGCACUGUAAAACAAUACUAUAUUAUGUUAUUCUGCCUGUCACCUCUUCUUCCAUUAUUCAACACUAAGCAUGUGUCUCAAAUAUUCAAAAGCCUAAAUCACAAGUAUACCUUUAUAGUAUUAGUGAAACAAAGCAAAACAGAUAACAGAAUCAUAUUCUAACAUACUAUUGGAACAUUAUAAUACCCAGAUUCACUUUAGUGUUGGAGGUUUUUUCCUUAUGGACCUUAUGUUCUACAUAUAGGAAUAGGGAGCCCUAGUAGAACAGAUAUGGUCUUCUCAGGAUCAUUGAAUCCCAGAAAUCAUCUUCCACAAGGCUCCCAAUACAGUUUUGUCAUGCAACCAAAUCCCUACCUGUUCCAUAAACCCCUUUUUGUGUGAAAAUACUAGAAUAAGCAACACCACAGAAUAAAGAAAUCUGUCAGGUUGGAAAAGACCACAGUGGAUCAUCUGGUCCAAGCUCCUGCUCAAGCAGGGUCAUCCCAGAGCCCGGAAUACAGGAUUGUGUCCAGGCAAUCCCUGAGUAUCCCCACAAAGGGAGACUCCACAGCCUCUUUGGGCAGCCUGUUCCAGUGUAGUCACAGGCACAGUAAAGUUCUUCCUAAUAUUCACGUGGAGCUUCCUCUUUAUUAGUUUCUUCCUUUUUUCUCUUGUCCUAUUUCUGGGCACCACCAAGAGGAGCCUGAAUCCAUCCUCUUGGCACCCUUCCUUCAGGUACUUACAGACACUGAUAAAGUUGUCUAAGUUUGUCUCUUAAGAUUGAGGCAGGCCCAGUUCCCUCAGCCUUUCCUCAUAAGAGAGAUGCUCCAGUCCCUUCAUCAGCUUUUCAGCCCUCCUUCAGUCCUGCUUCAAGGGCUGCAUGUCCUUUUCAUCCCAAGGAGCCCAGAAGUGGACACAGCUCUCCAGAUGGGACCUCACCAGGGCUGAGCAGGAUCACCUUCCUCAACCUGGAAAUGCUUUUCCUAAAGCACCCCAGGGUGCCAUUGGCCUUCUUGGCCACCAGAACCCACUGCUGUCUCAUGGACAGCUUGAUAUCCUGGAGCUCCAGGACCUUCUCUGCACUGCUUCCCAGCAGGUCAGUCCCCAGCCUGUGCUCGUACCUGAGGUUAUUCCUCCCCAGGGGCAGGGCACUGCAUUUGCCUGUUUUGAACUUCGGACAGUUCCUCUUUGUCCCUCUCUUCAUCCUGUCAAAGUCCUUCUGAAGGGCUGCACAGCCCUCUGGGCUGUCAACCACUCCUCCCAGCUUUGUGUCAAACUUGCUGAGCAGGCACUCUGUGCCUUCAUCCAAGUCAUCAAUAAGUUAAAUAAUGCUCGGCCCAGUAUUGAUCCUUGGGGGAUACCACUAAUGUCUGGCCUCCAAACCAACAUUGUGCCACUGACUACAACCAUCUGGGAUCUGCCAUUCAUCCAGUUCUCGAACCACUUCUCUGUCCAUUCAUGCUGUCUAUUCAUCCAGUACAUACUUCUUGAGUUUGUCUGUGAGGAUCUUGUGACAGUGUUGAAAGCCUUGCUGAAGUCAAGGUAGACAAUAUCCACUGCUCUCCCCUCAUCCAUCCGGGUCGUUGUUUCAUCAUAGAAGGCUAUCAAGUUGGUCAAGCAUGAUUUACUUUUAUUGAAUCCAUGCUGACUAACGCUGAUCACCUUCUUGUCAGCCAUGUGCAUAGAGAUUGCAUCCCGAAUAUGGCCUUCCAUCAGUUUCCAGUGAUUGAGAUGAGGCUGACUGGCCUGUAGUUCCCUGGGUCCUCCUUCUUGCCCUGUUGAAGUCUAAGACAACAUCUGUUUUAUUCCAGUCCUCAAGCACCUCUCCUGAUCACCACAACCUCUCAAAAAUGAUCAUGAGUAGCGUCACUAUGGUGUCUGUCAACUCUCUCAGCACUCAUGGGUACAUCCCAUUAGGGCCUUGUGGAUGUCAAGUUUGCCUGGGUGUUCUUCAACCCAAUCCUCCUUGACCAAGGGAAGUCUCCAUUCAGCAUGCCUUUUCCUUGGUCUUCUGGGUGAGAGAUUCCUGAGGGGUGGUCUUGUCAGUAAAGACCAGUGCAAAGAAGAAUUCCAGCAACUCUGCCUCCUCCAUGUCCUCUGUUACCAGGGUCCUUCCUUCACUUAGCAAUGGGCCCACAUUUUCUUUUUGUUUUCCUUUUGCUAUUGAUAUAUUUGAAGAAUACACAAUGAAAUGGGCUACUGGAGAUCUCUACACCAAUAAUUUAAUUCUGCUCACAAACUUCAGAGUUGGAGGAGCAGUCCUAUUUCUCAGUAACAUUUUAUACCUUCUGCUGUCCACAGUUGUUUGUCUCUGCCCUCACACUUCAACAGAUGUAAUUUUUACAGUGCCUUGUGCUGGACUAAAAACAAAUCCAAUAAAUAUGAAAAUAAUAAAGAUCACUUUUUUAUUACAAUUAUCUACAAUGUAUGGAUAUCAAUUUAAUUUUGAAAUCAAAUUAUCUCACGUAUGAUUAAAUUAUACUUCCAAAUGCUGCUUAUAGGAUCACAGAAUUUAUUUUAUGUUUAAAGCUGCUAGAGGAGCUCUAUUUUUAUUUAGGGUGCUUUUUGCACAGUUGACUUCCUUGUAUUACUUCUGAAGAGAUGAUUGUCAUCUCUUCAUCCUAUGAAAUUGUAACUGCCUUUUAAAACCAUAAUAGAAUCAUGUUAUUUAUUGUUAUCACUCUAUUUCUAAAGAAAAAAGUCUUGCUUUGAGGAAAAUGUAGCUAAACAUAUUAAUUUCUUCAGUCAAUGUAACAAAUAAUUCAAUUUGCAAAAUUAUAUGCUCCAUCAGCCCAAAGGAAAGUUGAUUCUACUUCAGUUCUUCUCUCUGAAGCCUAUUACAAAGAUGACUGAAAUUAUGAGUCUGUUAAAGAUAUGCCAUAGGUUCUCCUCCAGUUUCUACAAAAAACACUGGCAUAUAUGGCUUCUCAUGACACUUUGGAAGUGAUUUAACAUACUUGUUCUUUACAUUUUACUCACCCCAAUAACAGGAGUAAAAGGCAAAUUACAAUAAAUUUAAAUUUCAGUUUCAAGCUGAAAUUUAAUCCACUAUAUUUAAUGCUGCAAUCAUAUCUUUUUAUUCAUUUUGCAAUAUUAUCCUGGCAAAUGAAAAGUUUCAACAGUUGCCAAUCCAAUUCUUUUGAUGUAAGAAGUAAUUUUUAUUGAUUUCUUAUCUGCAGGGCACUGUCAGUGUAGAGCUAAUUUCCUUUAGACUAGUAAAUUGCUGCUAAUAAUCUUAAAUUAAAAGCUUUCAGGAAAUGAGCUAGAGAUUAGUCUAGUGUGCAUAAACCUACAGCAUUGAACAGGGAUGUAUUUGUGAAAUUAAGUAGGCCUCUAGCUGGUAGAAAGAAUCAAUAUCUGGUUAUGUCCCUUCUCCUGGUCUUUAUUUUUUUUCUUCAGGCUAAUGCAGUGCCCUGUGGCUCUGUUGCUCUAAAAGAAACUUUGCAAAGGCAAUGAUAAUUGUUGAUGGUUACUCCUGUUUUGACCAUCACUGCUAAUUGGUAGGAGAGUUUGUGUUAUGCUUCAGCUAAUUCUGUUUUCUCAAAAACAAAGCUAAAAUGUCAGAUAAAUAGAACUUCUGAGAAUUCCCUCGCUAUAAAAGACUGUUAAAACUCACAUAAUUUGUGUUAACAUUUUUAAUUUUUUUUUUCAUUACUAGCAGGUUCUUAAGCCUCACGUAUCCCCAAAAGAAUGAAGUCCAGACAUUUAAUCCCUUUGCAAUCCUUUAAAAUUCUGUGUGGCAGUUCGAGUGGGAAUAUAGAGCUUUAGAGAAUCUGAGGUAUAGAAACUAAUGGCUAUCAAGACCUACUGAAAUAUCUUUUCUAAGCAUGUGGCUGACAUCUCUGAACUUCUGCUUCUGCUCUGUGGGAAUCCUUUACAGGUUCUGUGAGAAAGAGUAUGAUACAAUCUGCUCAGAAUAACUGGAAAAAAAAACUUGGCAUAUUUAUUUAAUUCUCUAAGUAAAGCAAUAGCAAUACUUCAGUUUCCUAAAAUAACUGUUAUUAUAUUUGCACAUUUAAGUAGUCACUUAAAAUGACUACAUGUCACAAAGUACAUGUUUGAUCAAACAUGUCAUAUGAUUGACUGAAUGUUAUCAAAUUUCCACUGUGGUCAUUUGUUUGGAGACACGUGCAAAGCACUUACUGCACAGAAAACUACUAUACUAAUAAAAAUCCCAAAAUUAGUGCUCUCAAGCUAUAUAACUAUGCUCCAGAAAUAGUCAGCACAACAGUAAUAUGGGAAAUGCUAGUAUGAUGAAAUGUCUGCAAGAACAUUCUACAUUUGAUUCUAUUAAUUUACAUUGCUGCUUCACUGGUAUGCUCCCUUAAUAUAAUUAAUUUGAAUAGUGGUGUUGAAUGGCAUUUACAUUUAGACAUGCUCGUAGCAACAAUGGGGAAAAGUACUUUUGAGUGAGCUUAUUGUCAAGAGGCUGAUAUGAUAUUCUAAAGCCACUAUCUGUAUUUUAUUAACUGGGGUUAUCAAAUGAAUCACAAUGAAAUGCUAAGACUUCCGCACCUUUUUGCACUCAAAAUCUGACAGUAUUUUUCAUUUGGAGCUGAGCAUUAAGAACUACAUUCCUGCUGCUUCUGGGAACUUUAUAAAAAGGAUUAAAAAUUUCCCUGUUAUUGGUGUAAUACAGGUGAAUUGCUAUCCUCCAAAAUGACAGAGAAAGAAUGGUGCAAUCAGGGUAUGAAUAUUCUCACAUGUAUAUACAUUUUUAAAAUUAUUACUGUGAUAAAAGAUACUGUUCACACAAAAGAGUUUUUUGUAUUUGUUCUUACUGUAAUUUCAUUUUACACUUUCCAUUUUAUUUGUUUGCAAUGUCUCUUUAUUUCUUCAAAAUAUUGUACUUGUUAUGUCUUCUUCUGUAUUAAAUGUUGCUGCUUUAUUCCAGGUUUGUGCUAAAAUGGAGAUAGCGGUGAUAACGAAAUUCCCGAUAAUAUAUGAACAAAAUACACAAUGCAUAUAACACGAAAUACACUAAUGCAAACACAAAAUAAGAAAUAUUAAUAUGCAAUGUUAUUUAGCAUUAAAAUGGUAUUCACCGUUUGCAUCAAUAAUUCCUUCCGUUGAACUGGAACCACCUGAAUACUUUUUUAGGUCCUCCUGUCCAAGUUCAAUGAAGAAAAUAAGCAGUGAAUUUUCCAAAUAUGUAACUUAGAAGUUUUGUAUUUUCAAUGUAAACCUUUGGGAAUACCGACUUGAGUGUCAGUUGAUGAAUAACUACAUUUACAAUGAAAUUUUGAAAAUCCACAGUAGCAGUUUCAAAAGAGAUGAAUAAGGUACUUCUUGAAAAUAUGAAUGUGAUACGACUAGAAAGAAGUUUUCACAUGCGAAGAUGCAAUAGUCAGUAUUUACCCACAAUAAAUCAAUCUUAUUUUUCAUCUAUUAUGAUUUAUAUUAAUUUUGCAAUUGUUCACCUUUGCACACUAGAUGAUACACAACCUAUGAAGGUAAAUAAUGAUAUAUACACUAUAAAACUAUAAUGUAGCAUAAUAAAGACCAAAACUUGAAUUACUCUAUUCUUAUUUCUGAUGCAAAAUCAGAUGUUAUAUUAGGCAGCACAGAAUUAAAACACAUUAAUGGUCUAAGAGCUCCUCUGUCAGAAAGCUAUUUACUGUCCAUAUUUCAAUUGUGGAAACUAAUAAAUAUGGAAAUAUUUGCCUUCCACAGGGAAUUAAUACUCACCAAAUUUUCAAAGUCCUACAGGCAUUAGGACUGUCCUAGUCACUGAAUUUUGAAGAAGUUGCAAACUCUUCUCAUUUAGAUGUCUGCUUCCAUUAGCAUCCCUCAAAAAACCUAGAGCAUAUUUUCCAUUUUAAUUGCUUAGUUGCUGUCCAUUUGCAUACAGACACAUGGUGUGGGAGAUCAUUUUACAAAAUAGUUACUUGAAUAUAUGGAAAAAAAUCAUACUACUUUGAAACAUUUUAAAGCACACUCAGACAUCUCAAGCUGCCAUUCCCCUGUCUUACACAGUUUUGUUUGCACAUACAGUAUCACUGAUGCACUUUGUUGUAAAAUGCUGACUUAAAUGAUGUUUGAGAUGCUUUUUAAUAGGAGUGUUUUCUUCCAAUUUCCUAUGACCACAACUCCAUAGACUCCCCAACAGCAAUAACUCAUGUGAAUACUGCAGAGGAUCGCCUACAAAUUCUAUAUUUAAAUCCAAUCAUCAGGACUCAGCAGAGUUGAGAUGUGUCCCCUGGGGGAAGGUAAAGAGCUGCAUACCCUCCACUUAGCUACUGCAGAUGCAGGUCUGUCCUUUUCCUUUAGAUUUCUUCACCUAAUGUUUAGAUCUCUAUGUCUGCUGCAGGCUGACCUCUACCACUAAGCCAGCACAGCUCAAGUGAACAGAAUCACAUAUCUGAGACUUAACUGCUCAAUUCAGCUCUUUAUAGUGCCCUCUCUCUACAUUAUAAACUCACCGUGAUUAAAGAAAACAAACUAAAAAAUAAGUUCAAAGCACAACUCAUCUGUGUAUUAAAUGCAGCACAGAAAAUGUUUAUACUUUAAAUUCAACUGAAAAAGGCAUAAUACAAAAAAUAAAUCUCUUGAUUUACAGUCAUUCAUUCCCACAUUAAAGUAUCACCAAAAAAGACAAAGGAAGAAGAUGCUUUUAUAGUGAACUGGACAGAUAAUGUAGUCAUUUUCUCCAAUGGUGAAUUUCAUCAUUUGCUAAAGGGAUAUAAUCAUCAGUUUUUUUCAUAUACUGUAGCUAUUGCACACAUGCAAAUGAAAAGCAUAUUCUUCAUUUAGAUGCUUUUUGUCUCUUCAGAUAAUGACAGCAUUUUGGAACCAACUCUGCAAGAGGGAUAAAAAAUUUAGUGCUAUUUAACCUUGUUACCCAGGAUUGCUCUCUUCAAAAUAGAGUCCCGAUUAGUUUAGUCUGAGGUGAAAUGAAAAAUUACAAUCCAAAUAUGUUUUAUGGAAGUGUAUGUGAAAUAAAUUUGUAUUAUAAUCUGUAUUAACCCAAGGUUUUUAUCUUUCAGACAAUUUCAGGUACCUUAAGUUUUAUGUGUCUACAGAACAGCACUUUCCAGAAGCUUUUCCUUCGGUUUUUCCCAUGCGUUUAUUAUAAGACAGCUAUGGCAAUGUGAUCUUCACAAUUUUAUUACUAACACAUUUGUUACACAAGAGCUAGAACUAAAACAAGCAUUGUCACAAAUAGAUGCACAAUUUCACUGCUAGAUCCAUGGGAUUCAUGAUCUUGUGCAGGAUGCUAUUUCCUCAGAACUGCAUAUCAAAUGGAUCAACAAUAAAAGGGACCUCUGAGAUCAUAUCUGGCUAUAACCAUGUUGGCAUCAAACUUAGCAUGCCUUAUUGGCGUUGCAUGACAUCAUUUUGUAAAAUUAAAUAAAUUUCU